GAUGGGUGUGCGACUGAUUAGGCAGUUGGCGGGGUAACGGCCCACCAAACCUACGAUCAGUAACUGGUGUGAGAGCACGACCAGUCACACGGGCACUGAGACACGGGCCCGACUCCUACGGGAGGCAGCAGUAAGGAAUAUUGGUCAAUGGACGCAAGUCUGAACCAGCCACGCCGCGUGGAGGAUGAAGGUCCUCUGGAUUGUAAACUUCUUUUAUCUGGGAAGAAACCCACGAAUUCUUUUGUGGUUGACGGUACCAGAUGAAUAAGCACCGGCUAACUCCGUGCCAGCAGCCGCGGUAAUACGGAGGGUGCAAGCGUUAUCCGGAUUCACUGGGUUUAAAGGGUGCGUAGGUGGGUUGGUAAGUCAGUGGUGAAAUCUCCAGGCUUAACUUGGAAACUGCCAUUGAUACUAUCAAUCUUGAAUACCGUGGAGGUCAGCGGAAUAUGUCAUGUAGCGGUGAAAUGCUUAGAUAUGACAUAGAACACCAAUUGCGAAGGCAGCUGGCUACACGAAUAUUGACACUGAUGCACGAAAGCGUGGGGAUCAAACAGGAUUAGAUACCCUGGUAGUCCACGCCCUAAACGAUGGAUACUCGACAU
Molecule: ribosomal RNA, 602 nt
Filed under: uncultured bacterium
Lineage: Bacteria
Description: bacterial SSU rRNA
Rfam family: Bacterial small subunit ribosomal RNA
Source: RNAcentral